Long non-coding RNA from Passer domesticus (house sparrow), 2646 nucleotides. RefSeq lists it as uncharacterized. The record is from RefSeq and is a predicted model, not a curated record. The transcript has 2 exons. Lineage: Eukaryota; Metazoa; Chordata; Aves; Passeriformes; Passeridae.
UUCAUGCUGAGGACUGACCUUUCAAAGGGAUUCACAUUGUGUGUUACCCCUUUUUAUGCUUCAUUAUGUAUAUGCUGAUGAGCUGAGGGUGGUGGCCAGGUGAUAAAUUGCUAGCAAGUGAUAAAUUGCUAGAUAACGUACUCGUUAGUUGUCAGGCUUGUAAGUAAAGUAGAGAAGAAAGGAAUGUGAAGAUCAAGGACUGUUAAGUGGAAGCUGGUGAGAAGUCCCAUGGAACAGGAGUAAAAUGACACAAGCCACAUGUGCAAAAGAGACAAUACUGGAGUUGGACACACACUUAUGGAUCCACUGGCUGUCUCCACACCUAUGAGAAGAAAAGGUAUGAUAUUGGCAAUGAUGCACCAACUUUGGCAACUGUUCCAGGAGUGUCCCUGAAACACCCAAGGAAGAUAAGAGUUAAGUAUAUGGUCCCAGAAACAGAAGGGCAAAACCACAAAGCAUGUUAAGCCCAGGCAGCCAAGCUGCAAGGAUGCUGUGCACAGAAUAAACCCAGGAGGAACCACAACAGAUAUGUUGGGGCUUUCACAGCUUUGUCUGCAGUGAGAGAUUAAUCUAGACUUCUGUAUUGUGCCUACAAUAACAAAGCUGGGAGCAGGUGACCUACUUCUUUCUGCAGAGGUUCCCAUCUGCAGUGAGUGUAGCCUGGAGGAGUUUGUGCCAUCUGCAGUGGACCAUUGUAAAACACUCUGAGACACAGAAAACUGUUUGUUGCUACAGAAGUGCUGAUGCUUGACAGCAAAUACUUUUAUUUAUAGUCAAUGCAUCAACAGCUCACCUGAGGAAGCAAUGUUUGUUCUCAAUACAGUGAUUUUGAAGAUCUGACACUGCAAAACUUUGGGACCAUUCACACAUGAAUAUGUGGUGAUACUAGUGUUUUAUGCUCAAAGUUAUUUUAGUGCUGAAGACAGCUGUAUUUCAAAUUCUUGGGGCCUGGAGAAGCAUGGUGAGCAGUUAGCAAUAUAUUAAUUCAGAUUAAAAAAUACUUCUGAAUAUCUGUGCCAAACACUGUUGGAAGUGUGAGGGGGAAGUGGCACUGAGGGCUUGUAACAGCCAGCUUUCCAGACAGUCUCUUGUAACAUUCUGUAAAGGGUUACUAAUACUAAUUUUCAUGACUAUUUUCUAGUUAGGUAGAAAAACAUCUUAGAGACCUUUAAGUGAGAUGCAGUUUGAAGAGAAGAAUUUUUUUUUCCCAAUCGAGCAAUGGAGAGAAGUGAAAGGGGAGAAGCCAAUAAAAUUACAGGCUUUUUGGGUUAUCCAAGAUAAUCUUCAUCUGAAAAUUAGAAGCAGGACCAUCAGGUUAAGAAUGAGAUGAGAACAAUUGCUCUGAUAAUGUAAGGACAUUUAAUUGAUAUUGAUAAUGAUAAUUACAAUGAUAAUAUUGAUAUUGAUAAUUACAUUGAUAAUGUAAGGACUGAUAAUGUAAAGACUGUUUUCCAGUCUUUAAAAAUUAUGCUGGAAUAUGAAUAAAUUACCAAUUACAGAGGAGGUGGGUACUUGGUGUAGAUGUGAAAAAUCCAUGCCAGUUAAUUACUCCUUGUAUAUCUAACUUUUGAUGCAAAUAACAUUUUAAGAACUUCCUACUCUCUUCUCAUCCACAGAGUACUGUUUACAUCCACACACCCUGCUCCUCCCCUUCCUCCCCACCUUGGUUGGGCUGCACAGAUGUUUAGGAGGCCACUGGGGAACUGUACUAGUGAAUUGAUCAGAAGCCUUUAAAAAUCCUUGCCAAAAAAGCAUAAAUCAUCCCUGUGCCUGAGCUAUUGGCCCCUACCUAUGUUUGCAAUUUACUAUUACUUCCAGUCCAAAGUCUCUGUGUGGAGCUUGCACAUUCUUCCUCAGCCUGGAUCUAGCUUGGGGUGCCAGCAUGUGGUGUAGAUGAGCCUGGCCCAUGUGCUGGCCACAGAUUCUGUCUAUGCAAAUCCUGACUGGGUUUUGUAAGAUCAGUCCCAUCUUUUAUUAAAGACACCUAAAAUUAUCCUGUUUUCCUGUGUUAAGUGUUCUCCUGACAGCACUUCUUCGUAGAACAUCCUUUCCUUAAAGCUCUGUUAAGUACUAGAGACACACAUAAAUAUGUACAUAAUCCUGGAAUUGGCAGCUUUGUGGAUGUUAUGCACAUAAUCCAAGCCUGUCACUGGGAGUUAUGAGUAUCCCACGAGAAAAAGCAGAAUCACAGUAGCAAGCAGUGAUCUGGUAAUCUGUACAAGGUGGGAUUGCUUCUGCCCCUCCUCAUCCCCAUUUAAGGUUUCUCAAAAUAAAAGAUACAUCGAUAUAUUUUUGCUGUUUUCAUUGGCAAUUCGACUACAUGGGUUUCAGCUGGCCUAAUACAAAAAAUUGGUUGAUAACUUGUGCUUUGAGUAGUUGUCAUCAUUUUUUAAAAUUACAAAAACUUGAUAAAAACUUGAUACUAUUAAAAAUACAAUAUCUGCAGAGAAAAGCCCCAAUAUGAAGGGGCUUUUUUUUCCUCAGGUUAUUUCAAAGAAAACAUAGUUAUUGCAAUAACACUUCACAUGUGGGAAAGUUUAGCUGAAGAAAGAACAGUUAAUAUGUAUAAAGACAGACAUCUAUAAAAAGAGGCAUAUAACUUGACCAUUUAAACUCCUAAUCAAGAGUUUAAAUAGAGAGGUCUAG